UACAGAGGGUGCGAGCGUUAAUCGGAAUUACUGGGCGUAAAGCGAGCGUAGUCGGUUAUUUAAGUCGGGUGUGAAAUCCCCGGGCUCAACCUGGGAAUUGCAUUCGAUACUGGAUAGCUAGAGUUCGGCAGAGGGAAGCGGAAUUUCCGGUGUAGCGGUGAAAUGCGUAGAUAUCGGAAGGAACAUCAGUGGCGAAAGCGGCUUCCUGGACCAGAACUGACGAUCAGGCUCGAAAGCGUGGGGAGCAAACAGG
RNAcentral lists this ribosomal RNA (253 nucleotides) under uncultured bacterium. RNAcentral describes it as "partial 16S ribosomal RNA". It matches the Rfam family "Bacterial small subunit ribosomal RNA", at positions 524 to 776 of the family's 1533-position model. The record is from RNAcentral.